This is a long non-coding RNA of Daucus carota subsp. sativus, 1136 nucleotides long. RefSeq lists it as uncharacterized. Lineage: Eukaryota; Viridiplantae; Streptophyta; Magnoliopsida; Apiales; Apiaceae. The record is from RefSeq and is a predicted model, not a curated record. The transcript is spliced from 3 exons.
UCUAGAAUAAUAAGAUGUUAAUUUAAUUAAUUAACAGUAAUUAAUUUAAUUGAUGAACAUGCGAUAAUUUGAAAUUGGGAAUUUAAUAAGCUAAUAAUAUGGAGUUGAAUUAAUUAAAUUAUAGGAUUAGGAAAAUUAGUGUCAAUAUUGAUUAUUUAGUGGAUCAAAUUAAUAUUUUGAUGAUAUUGGGCUCAGCCCAAAAUGUCACCAGACGCCAUGACCUAAUUAGUCAGAAUCUCUGUUGUAGCAUAUAUAUAUUCAUCUCUAAAAAUUGAAGUUCUUGGGGAAAAUAGAGUUUUUGGAGCUGCAAUACAAGGAGACAUAGGGUUUUAAGAAAUUUAAAAGUUGAAAGAGAAGUAAACCUUGAAAAAUCGAAAAUCACACUUUGCUCAAAGUCAAUAAGGAAAUAAAGUAGAAGACAUGGAUUGAAUCACUUCGCCUUAACGAUUAAGAUAGGAGCAAAGCAAAGGUUGUCAGGGGUAGUAAAGGAAGGGAAGUUAUAGUGGAGGACUAGUUGCAGAGGAAACGUAGCGUUCAAGCAAAUUGCUAUGGAUGGUGAUGGAAGGCCUCAGACACCACCCCCGCCUGUCUCUGACACUUCUGAGUCUGAGUUUGGCACCGAGUUAGAUGAUUCCAAUGAGAGUGCACAUGUACCUAGGAUGUCUGUUUCCGAAUCCGCCUGUAUUUCAGUCGGACCCUCAGAUCUACUUAGGCCUAUACCCGAUUCUUCUUCGGGAUCCCGUGACCCUUUAGGUAGGGAUUCUGCAGAGUUUCGAGCUUUGAUGGAUAGAGUGGCUGUUGAAAGAGGAAACCGAGUGACUAUGACCCAUGCUGAAUGGGAAGCUAGAGUGAGGACUAUAGAACAGAUAGCUAACAGGCGAUUGCGCGAUGAGCCUAUGGGUAUGGAUCCGCUUGAUGAGGCCCGUAGACUCAUGAGGUUGGUGACAUGGAUGUUGACACAGUUGAGAGCUCUAUGUGGGGACUAGCUAGGAGGACAUUUGUUGGAGUCCUAUGUUACGUAUAGUCAGGAUAGAUUUAUGGUAUUUCAAAAGAUUAACCUUUUUUAUUUAUGGUCAAUGUAUGAGGAUUUAAUAAAUCUUUGAUAUUCAGAAUGAUUUAAGACUCAACUACUCCCA